Molecule: long non-coding RNA, 2139 nt
Filed under: Vitis vinifera (wine grape)
Lineage: Eukaryota; Viridiplantae; Streptophyta; Magnoliopsida; Vitales; Vitaceae
Description: long non-coding RNA (VVIN_LNC006001)
Source: RNAcentral
AAGGCUAAGCCUUUGGAGAUCAUCUUUCGGCCCCGCCCCACCAUGACUAGCCUCCUUUCUCAACUUUGAAUGCCUUUAUACUAUCCCACUUCUAAUAGGAUAAGAUGUUGCUAUUGCAUCAUGGCUAUCCCCACAGACAUUUGAAUCUUAUAUAUGAUACAUUUGAAUCAGGUAUUUAUGUCGUAGAAUAUUUUCUUGCAUCCAAAAUCCCUGGCAAGGAAAAAAUAUAGCAUUUUCUUAUCACAUAUGGACAUGACAGCAUAGCCAUGAUGCUUGUGCCCUAGUUUCAUAUGAUCUACUAACUAUUUCUCAUUGAUGGAAUGACUAUCUUUAAAAGUGGUUGAGUAAUUAAAUUAUAUCCUCUAGUUAAGCAGCAAACUAGAUAAGCAAUAAUUUCCAGCGAAAGAGUAUGCAAGACUUCCAGUCUGUCUAUGGUUAUUUAUUUAUUUAUUUUAUCUUGAAAGUUAAUAUUUUUAUUUAACUAAAUAAGAAAUUUAAAUAAUAAACAUAAUAUGGUAACAUUAUCUACUGUGCUCUUAUGAACUCUGGACAAGAAACACUUGAAAUUUUUUUAAAAAAAUAAUUUUUUUGAAUUGAAUAAAGAGAUCGACUUCUAGGAUAAAAAUAAUUUUAUUGUAAAAAAAAAAAGCCAAAUAUUGUGUAUUUUAAAAUUAUAUAUUUAACUCACGACACACGUUUAAUAAUUUUCCCAAUUGAAUAACGAAUAAUUUAGGACCAACCCACAAAAUAAAGAAACAUAAAGAUUCAUUAAUUCAAAACUUCUAAAUUUGGAUGAUUUCAACUUUUGCACUAACUUUUUUUAUUAGAACGAGGGCAUAUGUUGAACGAGCUAUGAGACUGACCUUACGUUGUGAACUAACAAGGCACUAUUCAAAAUCGGUGCUUCUGGGAUAUUUAGAGGAAGUGGUUAGCUCGGUUAGAAAUGGUCACCAUGCUAGUGGUUGAUUGAUGCUCGGAUGCCCAUACCUCAUUAUGAAAUGCAAGAUAAUAAUUAUGGUUCUUUGAUUUGAGAAUAUGAUUUUACACAAUAUUCCAUGAUUAUGAAAAUACUAUUAAAUCAUAUUUAAUGCUCAUCAUAUAAUGCUUGUAGUGUUUAUCGAUAAACUUCCUUCUUCAAAAUGAUCGAUUAAUUCCUUGACUCUCCACCCCCUUAGUAGUUGGCCCUUUUCGGUGCUUAUUUUUGCUUUUCAUUUCCAGAUGUCAGCCAGUCUUUAUCUUUAUAGCUUUCCCCCAAUUCUCCCCAUGUGGAUCUUAAUAGGGGAAUUGAAAACUAGAGUAUUGGUUGGACUUUUUUUCCAAGAGAUUUAGUGGGCAUACCAUGGUGAGGAUAUUUGCCCCAAUUCUGAGAGUGACCAUUACUUUGCUAUCUAUAUCAUCCCUUAGUCUUUUUUUUUUUCACUUUCCUGUUUUUCUCCCCAUGCUUCCAUACCUACCCUUUCAUAACUUCUGUUAGUGAUAUCAUGUGGAUAGCGUUUUCAUAGCUUCCUUUAGUGAUAUUGUGGGUAGCUUCCUAAUGAUAUAUUGGGCUUUCAUCAUUUUAUACGAAAACUAAUUAAUAUUCAAUAAGAAUUAAUCAAACUUUUUAUCAUAUUCGACAUCAUUCCAUAUGAACUUAUUCUAAGAGUCAUCAUUUGGGUGAUCCAUUCCCAUGCUUAAGAGUGAUAUUCUUGCACACCAACAAAUAUCAAGUUGGUUUAAUAAUUUCAAGUCCCACCUCUGGUUAAGGUUUUCUUUUGUGUUUUUCUCUUCUAUUUCUUUAACAGUACUUCUAUUAUAUUUAGGCUUGUCUAAUUACUUUGGUGUUAGACAAGCAAGUGAACUAGUUUUGGCUGUUUUUUCUUUUUGGGGUUUUUUUUAUUCACCCAUUCUUGUGCUGUUGAGUGUUGACUCAUCUUCACGUAACAGCUGAGAUCAUCUGGGAGGUAUUAUAAUGUAAUGGCUGCACUCGUGCUUCUGCGCCAUUAGAGCAUCGAAUCAUCCUCUUCAAAAUUUCUCUUGUUUGCCAGUUUCAAACCAGUGCACAAAGCAAAGCGUGAAAAGCAAGACGAAAGGAAAAAUUCGAAUAGUAGAUGAUGAUAUGGAUAUGGAUGAUUUUCUGGAGGAACCUCCGCCGCUUCG